Molecule: long non-coding RNA, 3338 nt
Organism: Zonotrichia albicollis (white-throated sparrow)
Lineage: Eukaryota; Metazoa; Chordata; Aves; Passeriformes; Passerellidae
Source: Ensembl
CAGCUGAAUAUCAUUUUGGAUACUUAAGAGAACAAAAAAAACCCAUUUCAUUUUUCCCAGAAAAAGUUUCGUGGACUGCUCGGCGCCUCUGGAAAGCCCAGCUCCCUUGUGGUGAGCAGACUUUCCAGAGGGAGAGGAGGGUAGCCUCUCUUGCCCAGAGAGAGGUCCUUUUCCGGUGAGGAGACCUGCCUGCCUGGACCCAGCCUGCUUCAGCCUCCAUUUCGGGUGAGUAUCUCUGCUCUCGGUGGAGCAGAAGCUCAAAAACAGACUCUGCCGUGAGUUCUGUUCCUUUUUGGCUGUGCAGCCCCACAGAUGGGAAUUCAUAGCGUUCUAGGCUUUUAGCUUUCUGCCGCGUGUUUAGCUGUCUUUUGGAAUCCGCGCCGGCGGUGCGGGAGUGCUCUUUGCCCUUCCCCCUGGCUCAGCAGCGCAGCGUGUUCAGCUCGCCACGGCGCGGGGGAGGGGACUCCGCUCUCUCUCCCUCUGCGCGGGGGAGUCCGGUUUCGACUUGCCACGUGGACGGGGGGAAUCUCUCUCGGUGCGGGGGAGGGGGGUGCUCUUUGCACACGCGGCGUGAGGGGCCCCGGUUUCGGCUCGCCACGUGGUGUGGGGGAGGCUGCUCUCUCUCUCAGCUCCGCAGGGGGAGCUGCAUUCCACCGCAGGGGAGGCUUUGUGUCUGCCUCAGCUCGGCAGGGCGUGCCCUGCCGCUGCUGCCCGGGAAUUUUAAAAGCACUUUAUACAGCUGCACUGUGAAGGUUUUGUCUGUUCGUUAUCGCCUUUCUAUCUGUGGUUUUUUUUUUAGAAAUUGGUAGCUGAUUUUAGCUUUGCUUUUGGUCAGGCGGGAUUAAGUACUUUGCUUUUUACAUCUAACAUGGGUUCCAAACUUAGCAUUGUACAAAGGGGAGNCUGAGGUAAACGGAGUCCUGACAAGCCUGGACUUGCCCCGCUGCACUCUCCAGCAGCCAAGGUAUCUCUGGGGUAAAGCACCACAGUGCUGCCUUUGGCCCAGCAGCGAGGGUCAGAACUGGCCCAGGCACCAUCUAACUGGUUAUAUUGGGAUUCAUAUUCCCAUACAGCUCCUCAGACAAGUCCCUGCAUCCUGUGUCUCCUGCAGAAGCUGCUGGAUAUCCUGCACCAGCAAAGACCCACAUCAGAAGCCACCUUCCAGAAAGUUGACGGUGUGUGAGCUACAUGCUAUGUAGCAAUCUGUGGCAGAGUACAACCCCACCUGAUGUACACGUCACAUAAGCACUCCGAAAGGUGAGGUUAUAAUUCUAGAGGCCUGUAUUUCUAGAAUUCUAUGUCUACAGAUAUUUAGGUAUUGAUAUUUGUGGAGUUAUAUGCUGGUUUUUUACCUCUUUCCCCACUCUGCUGCCUCUGUCCCCUCUUGUUAUGGUGGGGGUCUGGGCUGGCAGGCAGGCCGGGCUGAGCAGUAGUUUCAGCCCCAGGUCCCUGCUACCCAUACGUGACAGGAGUGGAAGGAACCACCAGAGGCACCAGGCACCGACUCCCUGGGGAGUAUCUGGGCUCAAGCCACCAGGGAGCUGCUAAAGGACCAGUACAGCUAAGGAUAACAAGGUUGUCACAGGGGACACCAUGACUGAAGGCAUGGUGCUGCUGUGGGUGGUGAUGGUGGCACUGAGAGUAUGGUAUGGCUGUGGAGGCUGAGAGGAAGCAGUGAAACUGAGGGGUCUGGGAGAGCUGAUGGUGAUGGCAGUGACUGAGGAGGAAGAAAUGGCCUGGGCUGAGAGAGGUGGUGGGGCUCCGGGCACUGGGGACACUGAGGGGGAUGGCAGCACUGUGGGGGAGGAUGGGCUUGGAGGGUCUGAAGGGACUGGGGGAACUGCAUGUGUGCUGAGACUCUGGCGAGGCUAAGGGGAUGGUGGAGAUGACUCAGUACUUCCUUUGUUUCCUAAAUCUCUGUCUGCUGUUUCCAGAAGGACUGUUCUGGAAAGGAGGAAGCAACUGAGGGGAAUCAUAGGGAAAUGUGCCAGCUGGGUUCUGUCUAUAUCUUGUUCUCUCCAUAUCUAUAUUCAUCUAAGUUUCUGUCUAUAUAUACCUAUGUUUCUCUAUGUCAAGAGUUGUAUUUCAAAUUAUGCACCAUUAUAUACACUUAGUUACAGUAUACAGAGAUUUAGAUAGGUACUUUAGUAUUUGCGUAUUUAUGUACAAGCUCACCAUGUAAACUGUUAUAUUUACACAGAUGUCAAUAUAUUUACAUAAAUUGUUAUGCUUAUAUAUACAUAUGGAGUUCUAUGUAAAGCUGUGUAGAGUUGUACAGUUUAAUGUUGAAGUCAGGUAGAAAAAUGAUGAAGAAAAGCCUCAUAAAAUCAGGCCUGCUCUGCUAGAUCGAUGGCUGGCCUGUCAUUUCUUCUAAGCGCACCCAGUACUUUGCAAGUUCCCAUGCGAAAAUAAUCUUGGUAUGAAUAGUUCAUUAACAAUCUAUUCCUGGGUGAAUAGUUCAAUAAUGAUCUAUUCCUGGGUGAAAAAACAACUAGCACCUGCAUUAACAUUAAAUUUAUCCCAGAGAGUUAGUGAAGAAAAUAUAUAAACAAUUUAAAAAUAGAGAGACUUGAUGGACAAGUAAAAUACCUUUUACUAACCAGUAGAGUAAUAGUCGAGAAAGCUAUUAUCAAUUAAAGUUGUACACAAGGUCUGUAAAAACUGCAUAAAAAUGUGUUGUGUGAAUGAAGAAUGGGCUUUUUUCCUGCAUUUAAAAAAACAUGGAGUAUUGAGGUGGCUGCUGGAACCCAGGCUAGCUCUUAGAACUCCAGCGCCAGAAAUGGGAACUGCCUCAGUAUGAGGAUAUACCAGAGGCAGAACCUUUAGAGCCACUUGCUCUAAAGUGCCAGACACAAGCCAUGACAGAAACCAGGCAGAGGAGAAAGGAAGAGGCUCCCUGUCUUGAGGUUCCACAAGGAGCAUUUAAUCGAGGUGAAAGGAGAAGGAGAAAAACCCCCAAAUUGUAUUCCCAAGGGGUUUUGUACAGAUACAAGUCAGGGGGGUGGAUACAAACAGCUAACCAAUAGGGAAUCCUCAGGGGAGGAAUGAGCGUCUGGGGCCAAUUGGGAUAGGGGGGUGGAGUGGAUGGGUCACAUGGGUCAACGGGGCUUCGAGGAGUAGGGGGAUUUCAGAGGGGUGUUGUAUACAGGGAUUGGCCCGAGGUUUAAGUCGCAGAGAAGGUUUGGGAGUCAAGGGCUGGGUUGCCUUGACAGGCAGGGAAAGAGCUGGAACAAGAGGCAGGGAAUGGCAUGAGGGACAGCUUUGAGGGAGGGUAAAACCCAAAGGUAAACCAUGAACCACUUAAACAGGAAUCAAUAAAAUAAAUUCAAACCACUACA